This 34-nucleotide transfer RNA is filed under the name Aerolindigia capillacea. Its description in RNAcentral is "partial tRNA-Phe". Lineage: Eukaryota; Viridiplantae; Streptophyta; Bryopsida; Hypnales; Brachytheciaceae. The record is from RNAcentral.
CCGGGAUAGCUCAGUUGGUAGAGCAGAGGACUGA